RNAcentral lists this ribosomal RNA (406 nucleotides) under uncultured bacterium. RNAcentral's name for it is "partial 16S ribosomal RNA". It matches the Rfam family "Bacterial small subunit ribosomal RNA", at positions 30 to 526 of the family's 1533-position model. The record is from RNAcentral.
AUUGAACGCUGGCGGCAGGCCUAACACAUGCAAGUCGAACGAGCGGCGGACGGGUGAGUAAUGUCUGGGAAACUGCCCGAUGGAGGGGGAUAACUACUGGAAACGGUAGCUCAUACCGCAUACUAUCGGAUGUGCCCAUAUGGGAUUAGCUAGUUGGUGGGGUAAAGGCUCACCAAGGCGACGAUCCCUAGCUGGUCUGAGAGGAUGACCAGCCACACUGGAACGGAGACACGGCCCAGACUCCUACGGGAGGCAGCAGUGGGGAAUAUUGCACAAUGGGCGGAAGCCUGAUGCAGCCAUGCCGCGUGUAUGAAGAAGGCCUUAGGGUUGUAAAGUACUUUCAGCGGGGAGGCGUUACCCGCAGAAGAAGCACCGGCUAACUCCGUGCCAGCAGCCGCGGUAAUAC